Molecule: long non-coding RNA, 590 nt
Organism: Maniola jurtina (meadow brown)
Lineage: Eukaryota; Metazoa; Arthropoda; Insecta; Lepidoptera; Nymphalidae
Exons: 3
Source: RefSeq, a predicted model, not a curated record
AAAAUAAUUUUCGCAAAUUACUAAGUUUAGGAAUAAUAAACAAAGCGUUUAUCAACGCUCUGUCGCCUUAAAAAAUGAUCGCUCUGAAUAUUAUAAUACAAAAUCAUUAAAUAGUCCAUUGUAUAGUACAAUGCAUCUAAACUUUUCUAUUGCUCAAAUAAGUACAAGCAAUUGUAGCGUUUGCAACAUAGGAUGUAAGGUAGAUAUUUGUAAGAAUUUUUUUUACUGUAUUUUGACUAAUAUACAUGUGGUGUUUAUUUUCUAUCUGGUCUAUAUAAGCUCACAACGGUCGAAGUUUGGAUUAUAAUACAUAGAUUUUUGUGAUAUUCCUACAAAAUGAAGUUUUUUGCAAUCUUGUUGGCAAUUAUGGCCAUUGCAUUAGCAGUUGUGGGUGGUAUGAGUACUGCAAAGGCAGGCAUAAAGGAUCACGAUCACGGCCGCGCCGGGUGCAACUGGUCUGGUGGUCCACCACCACCCCCACCAGCUCCGACUAACAGCACCGGCUAGAAGUGUAACUACAGCAAAUUGUGGAAAAAUACGACAUCGGCGCGUCAUAUUUAUCAAUAUUCAAUAAACUUGUGCAUUAUGAA